UAGAGUUUGAUCAUGGCUCAGGAUGAACGCUAGCGGCAGGCCUAACACAUGCAAGUCGAGGGGUAACGGAGAAGCUUGCUUCUGCUGACGACCGGCGCACGGGUGCGUAACGCGUAUGCAACCUACCUCAUACUGGAGAAUAGCCCUUGGAAACGAGGAUUAAUACUCCAUAGUAUCAUUCUUUCGCAUGUUAGAAUGAUUAAAGAAUUUCGGUAUGAGAUGGGCAUGCGUCCCAUUAGCUAGUUGGUGAGGUAACGGCUCACCAAGGCGACGAUGGGUAGGGGGCCUGAGAGGGUGGUCCCCCACACUGGUACUGAGACACGGACCAGACUCCUACGGGAGGCAGCAGUGAGGAAUAUUGGUCAAUGGAGGCAACUCUGAACCAGCCAUGCCGCGUGAAGGAUGACGGCCCUAUGGGUUGUAAACUUCUUUUAUAUGGGAAGAAACUUAUCUACGUGUAGAUAACUGACGGUACCAUACGAAUAAGGAUCGGCUAACUCCGUGCCAGCAGCCGCGGUAAUACGGAGGAUCCAAGCGUUAUCCGGAUUCAUUGGGUUUAAAGGGUCCGUAGGCGGAUUUUUAAGUCAGUGGUGAAAGCCGGCAGCUCAACUGUCGAACUGCCAUUGAUACUGGAAAUCUUGAGUACAAAUGAAGU
This 655-nucleotide ribosomal RNA is filed under the name uncultured bacterium. RNAcentral describes it as "bacterial SSU rRNA". It matches the Rfam family "Bacterial small subunit ribosomal RNA", at positions 1 to 658 of the family's 1533-position model. The record is from RNAcentral.